AACCUAGCACACCUGCGGUGUGUACCUGCGGAGGGAUCAUUACUGAGUCACGUGCUCAAACAACCCUUCUGUGGACCUGAAAUAAACCGUUGCCUCGGCGGGCGGUCCCCCCAAGCAAACCCCACGUGGUGGGUUAGGGGACCAGACAGUCCGGCACGCUUAAGGCGUCCGGCGCCAGCCGCUGGCCCCAAACAAUUAAACUCUAGUAACCUUUACCUUCUGAGUUUCAAUAUUUAAAAA
RNAcentral lists this unclassified non-coding RNA (240 nucleotides) under soil metagenome. RNAcentral's name for it is "partial contains 5.8S ribosomal RNA, internal transcribed spacer 2, and large subunit ribosomal RNA". The record is from RNAcentral.